RNAcentral lists this ribosomal RNA (468 nucleotides) under uncultured bacterium. RNAcentral's name for it is "partial 16S ribosomal RNA". It matches the Rfam family "Bacterial small subunit ribosomal RNA", at positions 28 to 507 of the family's 1533-position model. The record is from RNAcentral.
GACGAACGCUGGCGGCGUGCUUAACACAUGCAAGUCGAACGGAAAGGCCCUGCUUUUGUGGGGUGCUCGAGUGGCGAACGGGUGAGUAACACGUGAGUAACCUGCCCUUGACUUUGGGAUAACUUCAGGAAACUGGGGCUAAUACCGGAUAGGAGCUCCUGCUGCAUGGUGGGGGUUGGAAAGUUUCGGCGGUUGGGGAUGGACUCGCGGCUUAUCAGCUUGUUGGUGGGGUAGUGGCUUACCAAGGCUUUGACGGGUAGCCGGCCUGAGAGGGUGACCGGGCACAUGGGGACUGAGAGACGGCCCAGACGCGUACGGGAGGCAGCAGUGGGGAAUAUUGCACAACGGGCGGAAGCCUGAUGCAGCAACGCCGCGUGCGGGAUGACGGCCUUCGGGUUGUAAACCGCUUUCGCCUGUGACGAAGCGUGAGUGACGGUAAUGGGUAAAGAAGCACCGGCUAACUACGUG